GUGGAUUAGAUACCCCGGUAGUCCAUGCCGUAAACGUUGGGCACUAGGUGUGGGGGACAUUCCACGUUUUCCGCGCCGUAGCUAACGCAUUAAGUGCCCCGCCUGGGGAGUACGGCCGCAAGGCUAAAACUCAAAGGAAUUGACGGGGGCCCGCACAAGCGGCGGAGCAUGCGGAUUAAUUCGAUGCAACGCGAAGAACCUUACCAAGGCUUGACAUGUGCCAGACCGCUCCAGAGAUGGGGUUUCCCUUCGGGGCUGGUUCACAGGUGGUGCACGGCCGUCGCCAACU
RNAcentral lists this ribosomal RNA (289 nucleotides) under uncultured bacterium. RNAcentral describes it as "partial 16S ribosomal RNA". It matches the Rfam family "Bacterial small subunit ribosomal RNA", at positions 773 to 1060 of the family's 1533-position model. The record is from RNAcentral.